AUACAGAGGGUGCGAGCGUUAAUCGGAAUUACUGGGCGUAAAGCGCGCGUAGGCGGCUUGGUCAGUCGGAUGUGAACGCCCCGGGCUCAACCUGGGAAUGGCAUUCGAUACUGCCAGGCUAGAGUAUGGGAGAGGGAAGUGGAAUUUCCGGUGUAGCGGUGAAAUGCGUAGAUAUCGGAAGGAACACCAGUGGCGAAGGCGACUUCCUGGCCCAAUACUGACGCUGAGGUGCGAAAGCGUGGGGAGCGAACAGGAUUAGAAACCCUAGUAGUCC
This 274-nucleotide ribosomal RNA is filed under the name uncultured bacterium. RNAcentral's name for it is "partial 16S ribosomal RNA". It matches the Rfam family "Bacterial small subunit ribosomal RNA", at positions 523 to 796 of the family's 1533-position model. The record is from RNAcentral.